CCUGGAAGAUGUAGACAAUAGAGGUAGGAGGCGCAAUAUCCGGGUUCGUGGGAUACCAGAAUCCGAGGGGCCAGAAAAUGCUGAGGCUUUAUUAACGGAAUUAUUCUGCUCUCUACUGCCACCAUCCCCACCGCCAACUAUAGAAUUCGAGAGGGCACAUAGGGCCUUGCGGUCUAGAGCAGCUGAAGAAGGGCCGCGUGACCUAAUAUGCUGCCUACACUCAUUCCCGGUGAAGAACGCCAUCAUGGCCAAAGCCCGGGAAAGACAGAAUUGGCCCUUUAGGGGAGCGCAGGUUUCGCUUUAUAAUGAUUUAUCCCCCAUAACGUUGGAAGCAAGGAGAGCCCUCCGCCCGGUUACAGCGACAUUGCGAGACCGCAAUAUACCAUAUAAGUGGGGCUUCCCCUUUGCACUAAUGGCUAGACACCAAAAUAGAUGGAUCACCAUGAGAUGGCCGGAGGAGGUACCACGGUUUAUGGGAGAACUGGGCCUCCCCUCUCAGUCGGUCCCCAACUGGAUCCUGGGGACAUUGGGGCCGCAACCCAGACCACAAAGAGGGCCCAGACAGCGUGAGGCGAGAACUCAUCCGGCUCACAACAGCGGAAGACGUGGAGACCCGACUUCCCCGGAGGAGUGAUCAGCAUGCCUGCCUGCGUCCAAGACCACCGUAUAUCGCCCCAGGCUAACACACCCACACCGGCACCCAGCUUUUCCUGUUCACGCAUCGUCCCUGGAGGGCUGGACCCCAACCGCUUAUCGCACGCAACCCACUUCUACACCCUGAUGUUGAGAUGAAAAGAACGCACGGCACAUCCACAGGUACUUUGAGUUAAUGUUCCGGGACAUGGAGCUUUGGGAGGGGAGAUCCUGGGUUUAAGGGCGCACACGGGAGCUGACACCCACCUGAAGCAGGCAUGCGGGUGGGUCUCUGGGCCACCCCCUGACUCUCUACCAUGGUUGUUGCCCGACACGGGGUGGGCACAAGAUACUUUGGGGGGGGGGGAGAGGGUCAUAAGGGGGCAUUGGACAGCAGAUACCGAUUGCCUGACUGGAUAUUCAGCACAAACUCAGGCAUCCUGGACGCAAAAACGGUGACCCCCCACGAAUGAGGACACUAAAUUGGGACACUUGCAUUUAAGAAAGGGUAUCUUUGAUCCAGGGAGCCGGGGGAGAGCUGGAUGGGAAGUGGGGUAGAGUGGAAUAUUUCUAACUGUUAAUGAUGCAUGCUAAUAUAACCUGACGCUGACUGAAUCAUAUUUACUGCUAUUCCUAAUUGUACAGGCCCAUUGUUUCCUAGAGGCAUCAGAUAGAAAUAGUUUGCAGAACACCAACCGGACCCCACUGUAUCAACGGGAAGUAGCGGUCCCUUAGGGGGAAAACAAGGAGGACACGCAGACUGGUAUAUAAUCUAGACCUCAGUGCUUACAGUACCGCAGAUACACAGAUAGUUCAAAGCCCUGACUAGUAUAGGCUGCACAUACCCGCUUGCAUCUGCCUGCUUAAUCCAAGCUACGCAUCCUAUUCAGCCCUCACUUACAGAUACCAACACACUUAGGUGCACCUUCCCCCCUCACCCCCCAUAUAGGUACUGGAGAGAAUAGGGACGAAAUGACGGAAGUGAGUAUCGAAUAACUUGCGCAUGACCAUGGGAGCCGGAGCUCUGGGGAUAGUUAUAGCUUUUAGACGAGUCAGGGUGCUUUAACCAUGACACAACACCAAUACUGGAUCUGAGAAAGCCAUCACUCCACAACCCGGUAGAUAGGGGAGGUUGACGUGGGGCGACCGGUGCGAAUGGACGCGGGAGGGAUGUUCGCUGCUGGGGGAGAAGCGAAUGGGGAAUGACGGGACGUUCUGGAUUAAGGAACUGCUAUCUUAAUCGUGACACUUGUAAAUAUGUUAAUUUGUUUAUUUAAUGUUAAUGCUUAAAUGCCUUGAAUAUGAAUACACAAUACAUGUUAGCUGCUGCCACUCACUCAGCUAUGAUUUUGGGGGUCACGGCGGAGAGGAGAACCCCAUGUAUACUCUUAGACACCUUAUCUGGGCGGAGCUCGAGUCGCGUUCCAUAACACAUACACUCGCGCUAAGAGGUCUGUGGCCAGGCUACGGGGUGUCUCGUCUCUUGGGCUGGUACCAGAGUGGGCGCCUGUUAGCGCUGGUCACUGCGCGAGACCUCCCCCUACUCUGUAGAGGGAUUACGGAUCUGGGACAUUACCGGAUUCCGAGGGGAUACCUACACUGAAGGGUAAACACCUCCUUUUCGAUCUUAAAUCUCACACAACACAUUCAGCUCCAUACUCGGGUACUGGGCCCUGGACCCCGGACUUGUCGCAUCGGCCGCAACCCCC
This 2342-nucleotide long non-coding RNA is filed under the name Pelobates cultripes (western spadefoot toad). The record is from RNAcentral. Lineage: Eukaryota; Metazoa; Chordata; Amphibia; Anura; Pelobatidae.